CUCAUUAGAAACUGGGUGCGGCGAUUAUGUCUCCUUCACAAAACCUUACACCUUUGGAGCGUUAAAACUCUGUGAUACCCAGACUGGAGAUAUAAUGCUUCCCUCGUACAACACUGUUGGUACAUUCUUGAGCAACGCCGUCGCUGCCAACGCAGCUGGUUUCAACCUGACCAUUACGAAAAUGACCUCCAGCUGCCACCAGGUCAUCAACCUCACAAGCGGUGGCAGUGCUACUCUAACUGCUCCCUCUACAAGUAACAAUGUCUGGACGAGCAAGGCUUGUGAAUGGUGGAUUGAG
Molecule: long non-coding RNA, 298 nt
Organism: Macrobrachium nipponense
Lineage: Eukaryota; Metazoa; Arthropoda; Malacostraca; Decapoda; Palaemonidae
Exons: 3
Source: RefSeq, a predicted model, not a curated record